This 1011-nucleotide ribosomal RNA is filed under the name uncultured bacterium. Its description in RNAcentral is "bacterial SSU rRNA". It matches the Rfam family "Bacterial small subunit ribosomal RNA", at positions 55 to 1111 of the family's 1533-position model. The record is from RNAcentral.
AUGCAAGUCGAACGCAGUAGCAAUACUGAGUGGCAGACGGGUGAGUAACAUGUGGGAAUCUGCCUUGUGGUUCAGGACAACAUUGGGAAACCGAUGCUAAUACUGGAUAAGCCCUUACGGGGAAAGUUUUAAUGCCAUAAGAUGAGCCCGCAUUUGAUUAGUUAGUUGGUGAGGUAAUGGCUCACCAAGACAAUGAUCAAUAGCUGAUCUGAGAGGAUGAUCAGCCACACUGGGACUGAGACACGGCCCAGACUCCUACGGGAGGCAGCAGUGGGGAAUCUUGCACAAUGGAGGAAACUCUGAUGCAGCGAUGCCGCGUGAGUGAAGAAGGCCUUUGGGUUGUAAAGCUCUUUUGUAGGGGAAGAUAAUGACUGUACCCUAAGAAUAAGGUCCGGCUAACUUCGUGCCAGCAGCCGCGGUAAUACGAAGGGACCUAGCGUAGUUCGGAAUUACUGGGCGUAAAGCGCGCGUAGGCCGUUGAGUUAGUUAAUUGUGAAAUCCCAAAGCUUAACUUUGGAACUGCAAUUAAAACUGCUCGACUAGAGUUUGAUAGAGGAAAGCGGAAUACAUAGUGUAGAGGUGAAAUUCGUAGAUAUUAUGUAGAACACCAGUUGCGAAGGCGGCUUUCUGGAUCAACACUGACGCUGAGGCGCGAAAGUAUGGGUAGCAAAGAGGAUUAGAUACCCUCGUAGUCCAUACCAUAAACGAUGAUUGCUAGAUGUUGGAAAUUUAUUUUCAGUAUCGCAGCUAACGCAUUAAGCAAUCCGCCUGGGGAGUACGACCGCAAGGUUAAAACUCAAAUGAAUUGACGGGGACCCGCACAAGCGGUGGAGCAUGUGGUUUAAUUCGAAGAUACGCGCAGAACCUUACCAACCCUUGACAUGUCUGUCGCGAGUUUAGGAAACUAGACUUUUCGGUUCGGCCGGACAGAACACAGGUGCUGCAUGGCUGUCGUCAGCUCGUGUCGUGAGAUGUUGGGUUAAGUCCCCGCACGAGCGCAACCCCUACUUU